Molecule: ribosomal RNA, 498 nt
Filed under: uncultured bacterium
Lineage: Bacteria
Description: partial 16S ribosomal RNA
Rfam family: Bacterial small subunit ribosomal RNA
Source: RNAcentral
ACUCAAAUGAAUUGACGGGGGCCCGCACAAGCGGAGGAACAUGUGGUUUAAUUCGAUGAUACGCGAGGAACCUUACCUGGGCUUAAAUGUGCUAUGACCGCUGGAGAAAUUCGGCUUUUCGCAAGAACAGAGUACAAGGUGCUGCAUGGUUGUCGUCAGCUCGUGCCGUGAGGUGUCGGGUUAAGUCCCAUAACGAGCGCAACCCUUAUUGUCAGUUGCUAACAGGUAAUGCUGAGGACUCUGGCGAGACUGCCACCGUAAGGUGCGAGGAAGGUGGGGAUGACGUCAAAUCAGCACGGCCCUUAUGUCCAGGGCUACACACGUGUUACAAUGGCCGAUACAAAGGGCAGCUACCAGGCGACUGGAUGCUAAUCUCUAAAGUCGGUCUCAGUUCGGAUCGAAGUCUGCAACCCGACUUCGUGAAGCUGGAUUCGCUAGUAAUCGCGCAUCAGCCAUGGCGCGGUGAAUACGUUCCCGGGCCUUGUACACACCGCCCGU